RNAcentral lists this ribosomal RNA (253 nucleotides) under uncultured bacterium. RNAcentral describes it as "partial 16S ribosomal RNA". It matches the Rfam family "Bacterial small subunit ribosomal RNA", at positions 524 to 776 of the family's 1533-position model. The record is from RNAcentral.
UACGUAGGGGGCAAGCGUUGUCCGGAAUCAUUGGGCGUAAAGCGCACGUAGGCGGCCCUGUAAGUCCGUUGUGAAAGUCAAAGGCUCAACCUUUGAAUGCCGAUGGAUACUGCAGGGCUAGAGUCCGGAAGAGGCGAGUGGAAUUCCUGGUGUAGCGGUGGAAUGCGCAGAUAUCAGGAGGAACACCAGUAGCGAAGGCAGCUCGCUGGGACGGUACUGACGCUAAGGUGCGAAAGCGUGGGGAGCGAACAGG